CGAGGAUUUGUUCUUAGGAACGAACUCCCCACCCUUUGUUUUAUGAUUUAUCAAAUUGCUUCGGCGAGCCCAUCUCUUUAGGGAGAUGCAUCGGCUUUCAUUAGUGGAUGAGUUUGUUCGCCGAAGGUUUUUAACUCUUAACUUUGUAUUUGUCUGAAAUUUAUAAACAAAAUAA
RNAcentral lists this unclassified non-coding RNA (175 nucleotides) under uncultured fungus. Its description in RNAcentral is "sequence contains ITS1, 5.8S rRNA gene". Lineage: Eukaryota; Fungi. The record is from RNAcentral.